Molecule: long non-coding RNA, 328 nt
Filed under: Lathyrus oleraceus (garden pea)
Lineage: Eukaryota; Viridiplantae; Streptophyta; Magnoliopsida; Fabales; Fabaceae
Description: Pisum sativum (pea) long non-coding RNA (PSAT_LNC011033)
Source: RNAcentral
AAAGGAUAUAAUAAAACGGGAGGGGUGCACUAUCAAUACAAUGGUAGAAUGAGAGUAAAAAUCUAAAUGGGCUUAAGGUCCAAUACAAAACAAGAUAAGAAAAGAAAAAACAUAAAAGUGAGGGGUUUGAAUCAGAAUUUCAAUUGAGGCCCAAACAAGAGGCCCAACAAACAAAAAAUAAGAAAAAAGAACAAGUUCAUGUGUGGCCAUCUGAUUAAGAUCAGAUGGCCAGGAUCUGAUCAAGGUGUUCAAAUAGAUCCAAGUCUCUAAGACACCUAAUUUUGAUCAAAUGGUCAGGUUCUAAGUGUUACCAUGAGAACUCACGCAU